This 253-nucleotide ribosomal RNA is filed under the name uncultured prokaryote. Its description in RNAcentral is "partial 16S ribosomal RNA". It matches the Rfam family "Bacterial small subunit ribosomal RNA", at positions 524 to 776 of the family's 1533-position model. The record is from RNAcentral.
UACGGAGGGUCCAAGCGUUAUCCGGAUUUAUUGGGUUUAAAGGGUCCGUAGGCGGGAAAAUAAGUCAGUGGUGAAAGCCUGCAGCUCAACUGCAGAACUGCCAUUGAAACUGUUUUUCUUGAGUAUAGAUGAAGUGGGCGGAAUAUAUCAUGUAGCGGUGAAAUGCAUAGAUAUGAUAUAGAACACCGAUUGCGAAGGCAGCUCACUAAACUAUUACUGACGCUGAGGGACGAAAGCGUGGGGAGCGAACAGG